GGGGAAUAUUGGACAAUGGGGGCAACCCUGAUCCAGCAAUGCCGCGUGUGUGAAGAAGGUCUUCGGAUUGUAAAGCACUUUCGACGGGGACGAUGAUGACGGUACCCGUAGAAGAAGCCCCGGCUAACUUCGUGCCAGCAGCCGCGGUAAUACGAAGGGGGCUAGCGUUGCUCGGAAUGACUGGGCGUAAAGGGCGUGUAGGCGGUUUACACAGUCAGAUGUGAAAUCCCCGGGCUUAACCUGGGAGCUGCAUUUGAUACGUGUAGACUAGAGUGUGAGAGAGGGUUGUGGAAUUCCCAGUGUAGAGGUGAAAUUCGUAGAUAUUGGGAAGAACACCGGUGGCGAAGGCGGCAACCUGGCUCAUGACUGACGCUGAGGCGCGAAAGCGUGGGGAGCAAACAGGAUUAGAUACCCUGGUAGUCCACGCUGUAAACGAUGUGUGCUAGAUGUUGGGUAACUUUGUUAUUCAGUGUCGC
RNAcentral lists this ribosomal RNA (476 nucleotides) under uncultured bacterium. RNAcentral's name for it is "partial 16S ribosomal RNA". It matches the Rfam family "Bacterial small subunit ribosomal RNA", at positions 356 to 849 of the family's 1533-position model. The record is from RNAcentral.